GCGUCCUUAGCUCAGUUGGUUAGAGCGCCACGUUGACAUCGUGGAGGUCGGCGGUUCGAAUCCGUCAGGACGCACCA
Molecule: transfer RNA, 77 nt
Filed under: Azoarcus sp. KH32C
Lineage: Bacteria; Pseudomonadati; Pseudomonadota; Betaproteobacteria; Rhodocyclales; Zoogloeaceae
Also listed under: 2 other names
Description: tRNA-Val (GAC) (tRNA-Val-GAC-1-1)
Rfam family: tRNA
About the family: Transfer RNA (tRNA) molecules are approximately 80 nucleotides in length. Their secondary structure includes four short double-helical elements and three loops (D, anti-codon, and T loops). Further hydrogen bonds mediate the characteristic L-shaped molecular structure. tRNAs have two regions of fundamental functional importance: the anti-codon, which is responsible for specific mRNA codon recognition, and the 3' end, to which the tRNAs corresponding amino acid is attached (by aminoacyl-tRNA synthetases). tRNAs cope with the degeneracy of the genetic code in two manners: having more than one tRNA (with a specific anti-codon) for a particular amino acid; and 'wobble' base-pairing, i.e. permitting non-standard base-pairing at the 3rd anti-codon position.
Source: RNAcentral